GCACUUGUGGCUCAAAGGAGUAGGGCGCUGGCCCCAUAUGCCAGAGGUGGCAGGUUCAAGCCCUGUCCUGGCCA
Molecule: transfer RNA, 74 nt
Filed under: Otolemur garnettii (small-eared galago)
Lineage: Eukaryota; Metazoa; Chordata; Mammalia; Primates; Galagidae
Rfam family: tRNA
About the family: Transfer RNA (tRNA) molecules are approximately 80 nucleotides in length. Their secondary structure includes four short double-helical elements and three loops (D, anti-codon, and T loops).
Source: Rfam by way of RNAcentral